RNAcentral lists this ribosomal RNA (255 nucleotides) under uncultured bacterium. Its description in RNAcentral is "partial 16S ribosomal RNA". It matches the Rfam family "Bacterial small subunit ribosomal RNA", at positions 524 to 776 of the family's 1533-position model. The record is from RNAcentral.
UACGUAGGGGGCAAGCGUUGUCCGGAUUUAUUGGGCGUAAAGAGCGUGUAGGCGGCCAGACAGGUCCGUUGUGAAAACUCGAGGCUCAACCUCGAGAUGUCGAUGGAAACCGUCUGGCUAGAGUCCGGAAGAGGAGUGUGGAAUUCCGUGGUGUAGCGGUGAAAUGCGCAGAUAUCAGGAAGAACACCUAUGGCGAAGGCAGCACUCUGGGACGGUACUGACGGCUGAGACGCGAAAGCGUGGGGAGCGAACAGG